CCUGGGGUGGAAGGCUCUGACAUCAUUGGAAUCAUAAUGCUUUUUUGUUCUUUUAUUCUUUGGACUUACGUCUUUUAUACUUUUCAAAGGACUUUCAUAUCCUUUAUGUCAUCUCACACUGACGACAUCCCUGCAGGGUGGAAGGACAGGUAUUAUUAUAAUAACUCAGCCACUCUUCCAACAACAGUCAUCAUUCAUGACUGAGGCCCCAGAGCCCACAGCAGGAAAAGCAACUGAAUCACUUUAUGGCCUCCCAAUCCCCACCCAGGAAGGUCCUCUGAGGCCGACUGUGUGACCAGGCUUUGCAAGUGGCCGAAGGAAAGAGUCCUGAUCAAAGGGCAGCCUGCCUGAUGGUCAGAUGCCAACAGCUCUGCCUGCCGGUGACGAACAUGCUUCUGUAGAGCAAAUGGCUGGACUAUUUCAUGGCCCCAACGCUAUUCUACUCAACCUUUAAAAAUGAAGGAUCCGAAUUUAAUGUGAAAUCUGCAUUUCAUCAAAGAUGGGACACCGCGUCCUUGGCUUAAUUAUUCUUUGGAAAUCGAACAUCUUUACUACUGCAUGCUUAACAGGUAGAAGGAAAAACAAACUGCAGACGAUGUGAUUCAGGCCUGAGGGACUGGAGGCACUGAUUCCAUCUACACUGAUAUCGCAUGGGGAACCCCCUUUGCAUUGAUAAUACUCACAUGCUGAACUAGCACGCGGUAUAAUAGUCAGUGAUAAUGUCGCUCGAUGUCUACCCUUAGAAAGAGAAUUUAGAGCAUGAAUCAGUAGAAUAAUAAUACUCCCCAAUUACAUGACACUUUGCUUUAUAAUCCCCCCCCCCCCCAUAAUAUGGAUCUCUCCAUUUUAUUCUUUUAUUAGCCCCUGGAGGGGAGAGUCACCAGGGCUCAGGGAAGAGAGAUUACUGUAGGUGGUGAAGUCAAGAUUUGCAUCUUACCCUUCUAGAGCACUUCUCUUGCCAUGGUGCAGCUUCCUAAUGAACACUGAGAGUUUUGUGAAUGGGGGGGGGAAGGAAGUGUAGUAACUGUACCUCAGGAAACAGCUUCGUGAAAAAACAGAGGAAGAACUGAGGGAUGAAAGUCAAACUCAGCCGGAGCCUUGAUUAUGCUUUUGAGGCCUCAGGGUGACCUGGGACAAGUGCCUUAAAUAUCCACUGCCUCUGGUUUUCAUCUCACAGGAGGGAAUGUUAAUUCUAGUUCUUUCCACCUCAUCAAGUUUUUAAGUAAAGAAGGAGCUAAUGAAUAUGAAACUGUUUUAAAAGGUAUUAACUCUUUUCAAAAUGUAGGCACUGGGAGAUGAUUUUUGAAAUAAAGUAUAUUGCUAGUGAACAGAAGCACUUGGAUCAAAUGAAUGUACUCAAGGCCUAGGAGGUCCAGUCUACUCCUGGCCAUUUAGAUGCCUCCAGAAACCAGUGAUGGAGCGGGCACCCGGUCCCUGUGCCGUUUCACUUGCAUUUCCCUUUUGAUGCUAAAAGGUAGAGAUUUACCUUGGGAAACUCCUCCCUCUGGAUCCAGACAAGAAGGGAGCUUCAUCAAGGAAUCCACCUUCCCUGGGCACGGGCACCCUGAACAGAAAUCGGAGAUUGAGCAGAAGGUUAUGGUACCUAAGAAGGGUUGGUGCCCAUCAGCCUGCAGUGGAGGCUCAGAAGAGGCCUCCCUGCCUCCAGUCUUCCGACAGUUCCUUACUCCUCUGCCUGCCCUGCCUGGUUUCUCAGCCUUCCUUUUGAUUCUGGAAAUUCUCCCACACCCUUGUAGGAAAUCCCAUCCAUGCCCUCUUAGGGGUUGUUUUACACCACUCAGUCUAAGAGGGGCUUGCCAGGUCACCAUAGUUAUCAGAACAGAAGAUUUCUUGAAAGAGGGACUAUUAGAACCCCGUCAAUGUUUAGACACGAACAACCUGUUCUUUGAGUUGGCCAGGGUUAGUCCCAGCAACUUGCAAAGAAAACACCUUAAUGGUGAAAGCUGCAACACUAACAGAUCAUUGCAGCCAGAGGAAGGAGGACAGAAGAGUGACGAUCAAGAAAAUCAAACCAUUUGGUCACCUAGUAAUCUACUGUGGAACAAAAGACAGGCAAGUCAGGUAAAAGAGCCGCUAAUAAGUCUUCAACCACCAUUCUUGAAAAAGUCUCCUUUUUUCUUCCUUUGCUAAGUCCAUAAAAGUUUAAAAGAUCAAAA
This is a long non-coding RNA of Panthera uncia (snow leopard), 2174 nucleotides long. RefSeq lists it as uncharacterized. The record is from RefSeq and is a predicted model, not a curated record. The transcript has 3 exons. Lineage: Eukaryota; Metazoa; Chordata; Mammalia; Carnivora; Felidae.